AACGCACAUUGCGCCCCUCGGUAUUCCGGGGGGCAUGCCUGUUCGAGCGUCAUUACACCCCUCAAGCGUAGCUUGGUAUUGGGUUCUCGUCCCCCGGGCGUGCCCGAAAAGUAUUGGCGGUCCGGAGUGACUUUAAGCGUAGUAAAUUAUCUCCCGCUUUGAAAGUUUGCCCCGUGGCUACCAGACAACCCACGAUAUUUAUGAAAUCAUUGACCUCGGAUCAGGUAGGGAUACCCGCUGAACUUAA
Molecule: unclassified non-coding RNA, 247 nt
Filed under: uncultured fungus
Lineage: Eukaryota; Fungi
Description: partial contains 5.8S ribosomal RNA, internal transcribed spacer 2, and large subunit ribosomal RNA
Rfam family: 5.8S ribosomal RNA (bases 1-52)
Source: RNAcentral